RNAcentral lists this long non-coding RNA (789 nucleotides) under Pan troglodytes (chimpanzee). RNAcentral's name for it is "lincRNA". The record is from RNAcentral. Lineage: Eukaryota; Metazoa; Chordata; Mammalia; Primates; Hominidae.
AUGGAACGUGGUGCCUCACAGGCAGUCUGCUUGGCGUCCUGGACCCUGGCUGUAUCCCGCUGGAAAGGAUUCAACGCAAAAUCAUGCUGCCGUGUUCCGUGUGGGAAGCUUGUUGCAAGAAGGUUGUGGGAAAAUCAAGCUCUACGGAGACCUGAAGCAUCUGAAGACGUUUGACCGGGGAAUGGUCUGGAACACGGACCUGGUGGAGACCCUGGAGCUGCAGAACCUGAUGCUGUGUGCGCUGCAGACCGUCAGUGGAGCAGAGGCGUGGAAGGAGUCACGGGGCGCGCACGCCAGGGAAGACUACAAGGUGCGGAUCGAUGAGUACGAUCACUCCAAGCUCAUCCAGGGGCAACAGAAGAAGCCCUUUGAGGAGCACUGGAGGAAGCACACCCUGUCCUAUGUGGACGUCAGCACUGGGAAGUGCACAGCCAGAGAACAACACAUCACACACAAGAAACAGUUGUGCUCAUGUGAUGGGGGCCUCAGCACUAGGAAGGAGUGGACUGUUGGCGCACGCAGCAGCUUGAAUAAAUCUGAAAGUCACUACGCUGCGUAAGAGAAGCCAAAUAAAGCGCAUGCUGUGUACAGAGGGUGUCGAGAAUGUGUCCUACGUGACGGAAAGCAGAUCCGUGGUUCCCUGCAGACUGGCAGGAGCAGAUUCCAAAGGCACAGGAAGAAGCUUGCAGUACAAAGAUAAAAAUCUAAAGUGGUUGCUGUGGAGGACAGGGGUCAGUGGUGGAAGUGAGACCGAAAUAGACUCUGAAGUAAUAUCUGGACUUUGAAAUU